Molecule: ribosomal RNA, 1347 nt
Filed under: Salmonella enterica
Lineage: Bacteria; Pseudomonadati; Pseudomonadota; Gammaproteobacteria; Enterobacterales; Enterobacteriaceae
Description: partial 23S ribosomal RNA
Rfam family: Bacterial large subunit ribosomal RNA
Source: RNAcentral
GGAAGCGUCUGGAAAGGCGCGCGAUACAGGGUGACAGCCCCGUACACAAAAGCGCAUGUGCUGUGAGCUCGAUGAGUAGGGCGGGACACGUGGUAUCCUGUCUGAAUAUGGGGGGACCAUCCUCCAAGGCUAAAUACUCCUGACUGACCGAUAGUGAACCAGUACCGUGAGGGAAAGGCGAAAAGAACCCCGGCGAGGGGAGUGAAAAAGAACCUGAAACCGUGUACGUACAAGCAGUGGGAGCCCCACCACUAAGCCAGUGGUGAACUCCACAUACGCAUCCUUUGCUGAGGAUACGGUUAACGGAGCGAAAGCGACGUUCAACCUCAAAAGAAGCAGAGGGGGCUUAGUGGUGGGGUGACUGCGUACCUUUUGUAUAAUGGGUCAGCGACUUAUAUUCUGUAGCAAGGUUAACCGAAUAGGGGAGCCGGAGGGAAACCGAGUCUUAACCGGGCGUUAAGUUGCAGGGUAUAGACCCGAAACCCGGUGAUCUAGCCAUGGGCAGGUUGAAGGUUGGGUAACACUAACUGGAGGACCGAACCGACUAAUGUUGAAAAAUUAGCGGAUGACCUGUGGCUGGGGGUGAAAGGCCAAUCAAACCGGGAGAUAGCUGGUUCUCCCCGAAAGCUAUUUAGGUAGCGCCUCGUGAAUUCAUCUCCGGGGGUAGAGCACUGUUUCGGCUAGGGGGCCAUCCCGGCUUACCAACCCGAUGCAAACUGCGAAUACCGGAGAAUGUUAUCACGGGAGACACACGGCGGGUGCUAACGUCCGUCGUGAAGAGGGAAACAACCCAGACCGCCAGCUAAGGUCCCAAAGUCAUGGUUAAGUGGGAAACGAUGUGGGAAGGCCCAGACAGCCAGGAUGUUGGCUUAGAAGCAGCCAUCAUUUAAAGAAAGCGUAAUAGCUCACUGGUCGAGUCGGCCUGCGCGGAAGAUGUAACGGGGCUAAACCAUGCACCGAAGCUGCGGCAGCGACGCUUAUGCGUUGUUGGGUAGGGGAGCGUUCUGUAAGCCUGCGAAGGUGGCCUGUGAGGGGUGCUGGAGGUAUCAGAAGUGCGAAUGCUGACAUAAGUAACGAUAAAGCGGGUGAAAAGCCCGCUCGCCGGAAGACCAAGGGUUCCUGUCCAACGUUAAUCGGGGCAGGGUGAGUCGACCCCUAAGGCGAGGCCGAAAGGCGUAGUCGAUGGGAAACGGGUUAAUAUUCCCGUACUUGGUGUUACUGCGAAGGGGGGACGGAGAAGGCUAUGUUGGCCGGGCGACGGUUGUCCCGGUUUAAGCGUGUAGGUGUGUGUUCCAGGUAAAUCCGGUUCACUUUAACACUGAGGCGUGAUGACGAGGCACUACGGUG